Oryctolagus cuniculus (rabbit) is the source of this 6752-nucleotide non-coding RNA. NCBI's taxonomy places the organism in Eukaryota, Metazoa, Chordata, Mammalia, Lagomorpha, Leporidae. The record is from RefSeq and is a predicted model, not a curated record.
UGAGGCCGCCGUCGGCCGCUGUUGUUUCUCAGUGAGACGAGAGGGGCUUGCCUGUUAGGCUCAGGAACCGGAAGACGAGGGCGCUGGCGUGUAUGUUCGCUUCCUGACUUUUUUAGACCCGCCCGCCUUGUUCUGAAGGGGCGGCCGUUCGGUCUCUGCGUAGUUCCCCAGCCUUUCUUCCUGCCCUGGAUGACGUUUGGGUGGGCGCCCUCGGAACACGAUUAAGGACCUUUAAAAAAACCUUCCCUUUAUCCUUAGGGCAGAUGCUUGCUAAGCCUGUGCGCCAAAGUGAGCUGACCUUAGAAAACUCGUAUAGAGUGGUCUGUUUGUGGGUGCCUCACUUCCGGACUGCGUGGUAGUAAAUGGAAGGCGCAGGGACUUGAAGUCAGUUCUAGCAGGUGUGUUUCCCAUAGGUAGACUGUUCAGAGCGAGCCCAUUUUCCCAGCCUGAAAAAUUGUGAAUCCCAUGUUAACGCUCCUGCAGUGCUAGGUACUCUCCCCUGUAGACUUCUAUGGUAUCUUUUUAAAUUCUUACGGUGUCAACUGCCCUGUUUUGAACUGACCUGGAAGAUGGAACUUGAUCUCAGUUUUGGAAUUCACAGAGUCUGUGUCUUGGCUAGAACAGUGUUCAAUCUGUGUGUGAUGUAUGACUUAUAAAAUAUUGAACUGAAUAGGAGAGGUGAGAGCGGCUUAGGGCCCCUGCUGCUUCUACAGUGCACUUGAGCAAGGAACAGCAAAGGCAAUCUUGGAUUAGAGGCUCCACGUGGUUCCUCUGGUGCCAUAAUCAGUUUGAUUAUAAUCCUCAGCUGUAGCAAGAGGCCUUACUAAUGUAGAUAGAAACUAAAGCUCCUCCCCCCGCCUUGUUUUUUAAAAGAAUGAAAGCCACAUUUUUACGUAUUUGAAAGCAGAGAAAUAGAGAUAACCUGCCGGGUCACUCCACAAAUGGUCACAAAAGCCAAGGCAGGGCCAGGCUGAAGCUGGGAGCUGGAAACAGCCUGGGUCUCCCAUAUGAGUGGCAAGGACCCAAGUACUUGGGCCGUUGUUACCUUCCACUGCCGGGGGUUAGCAGGAAGUGAAGCCAGACUCUGAUAUGCUGGUUUCCCAAGCAGCGUCUUAACCACUGUGCCAAAUGCUGGUCCCACUACUGAAGCUUUUCAUCUGCUAUGUCUAAUUAGCAAAGUAACACAGGUCUGCGUAUGAUCCUUAUCUGAUGAUCACUGCUGCUUAUGGAACAUUUGGUAAAUUAGGCAAUCUGCUUUGGGCUUUACAAGUAAUAUCACAGUCUUAGAAUAAUCCUAUAAGUUGGUUAGUAAUGUCCAAUGGGGAAACGUAAUUAGGCAAUUAAAUAACUUCACUGGUAGUAGGGCCAAAGUUUGAAGUCCAUUUUGACUUAAACCUAACUACCUUGCCAUUAAGUCUAUCAUUACCCUACAAAUCAGAAUAGUAUGUUUUUUCUUCCUUUCUGAAGGGAGAGGCUGGGGUGUCUCACUAGGAAUAGACUAGUGAGAGCUAUUGGCACCUCAUUACAACCCGCUGAAAUUAUUCUCUCUUGCUAUAUACAGCCCCCCCUCAACUUUGUGUUCUUUUGGUACCUGGGCUUAAUUAUACUCUUCUAAUGUGGCUGUUCAAAUAAUUUAUUACUUGUAUUUGAUUUAUUUUAUGCUUUAUUUUUUACUUUUUUCUUAAAAGUUUACAGUAUCUGAUGUGUAUGACACGGAGUUUUGAUGUACAUGUGCCUAGUGGAUGCUUACUACAGUUAAGCAGUUAACAAAUCCAUACCCUCACAUGGUUACUCUUUGUACACCUGAAACAUCUUAGCAGAUUUCUAGUAUGCAAUACAGUUUACUGACUACAGUGACCAUUAGAUCUCUAAAAUAACAUUGUAUUAUAUUAGAUUCAUUUUGCAUUCAUUUUACACAGCUGCAACUUUAUACCCUCUGACCAACGUGUUCUCAUUUCCCCUAUGUUCCUGGUAAAACUGUUGUCUGUGCUUCUGUGUAUUUGACUUUUUUUUGGAGCCCACAUUUAAGAGAGUGCUUAAAUACUUAAGCAGUACUUUUUCUUCUGUCUGGCUGAUUUCACUUAGCAUAAUAUCCUCCAGGUCUCAUCCAUGUUGUUACAGAUGUCAAGAUCUACUUUCUAAAAAAGUGUUAAAGGCAGAACAAUAUUCCAUUCCAUUUAUAUUAUAUAAUAAUGUAUAUCACAAUUUUUAAUCCAUUCAUCCACUGACACUUAAGUUGUUUGUGUAGAUUGUUUAUUGUGAAUAAUGCUGUAAUGAACAUGAGAGUGCAGUUAUCUCUCUAAAACACUGAUUUUAUUUUCUUUGGAUAUGUAUUCAGUAGUGGAAUUGCUGAAUUAUAUGAUACUCUAAUUUUUUUGAGGAACCUUUAUAAUGUCUGUACCAAUUUAUACUCCCACCAACAGUGUAUAAGGAAAAUCUAAAAUGGUUGCUAGAGGAACGAAUGAGGAAUUGUCAAUGAAAACGUGUAAAUAAUUCAGAAAUGAAAAACCGUUUUGAAAAAAGAUUCAGGAUCACUGAAUUGAAGAGGUAGGGAAAAGCAAUUAAGAAUCGGGUGGCAAUUAGUCAUCUGUGGAUAGAUAGGGCUUCCCUUCCUCAAUUAGGGUAAUGGGCAGCAGCUCCCGCUAAAAUCUGAAAUAAAUGAGGAAGCUAGAGAUAAACCUGAGCUGGCUUGAUCACGGGCAAGGAGUGGCAGUGAAAGUGGGAAGUAAAAAACACUGUGCCUGAGCAGCUAGUAGAAGGAUGGAGCGGUUUGUCCGAGUUCCCUGUGGCUUGUACCAGGGCUAUGGGAACACACUACCUUUGGACCAACCUGGACUCUCAGGGCACAAACAGCCUGACUGGAGGCAAAACAUUGAUCCCCCCACUUUCCUGUCCAGGCCUGGGCUGCUGGUGCCUGCAAAUGCCUCUGACUACUGCAUGGACCCUUACAAACGAACACAGCUUAAAGCCAUUCUUGCCCAGAUGAAUCCCAGUCUGAGGCUGCAGCUGUGCAAGGCCAACACCAAGGAGGUGGGUGUGCAGGUCAGUCUGCGAGUGGAUAAGUCCGUGCAGUGCUCGCUGGGGCCUCGCACCCUGCGCAGCCGCUCCCCUUGGGACAGUGCUGGGCACAGAGUGCCCCUGGCAGGCUGGGGAGUCUAUUUGCCAGUGAUCAGCAGCAGAGGUUUGGUUCGGCUGCAGAAGGGUGGGGACAGUGGGGAGAGUGAGGUGCUGGGCAGCCCUGCAGAGACUGGUCAACAGCCACCACCAGUGCCGAAGUUAGAAGAUGGCAGGCAGAAGGAAGUUGGACAGCCUGAGGAGCUGGGGGACUCCGAGGCCACACAUCCUCAAGAAGGGAAGAACAAGCUGGUGCAGAGAGAUGCAGUCCCCGAUCUACUCCAGAAGCCAAACUUCCAGUUUUUGGAACCAAAAUAUGGCUAUUUUCACUGUAAAGAUUGUAAAACCAGAUGGGAGAGUGCUUAUGUGUGGUGCAUUUCUGGAACUAAUAAGGUUUAUUUCAAACAACUCUGUUGCAAAUGCCAAAAGAGUUUUAACCCUUACCGAGUAGAAGCAAUCCAAUGUCAGACAUGUUCAAAGUCUCGUUGUUCCUGUCCUCAAAAGAAAAGACACAUUGAUCUAAGGAGGCCUCAUCGACAGGAACUGUGUGGUCGCUGCAAAGACAAGAAAUUCUCCUGUGGCAGUAUUUACAGCUUUAAAUGCAUCAUGUGACAGACAGUAAUUCUUGUAUAGGAUGCAAACCCUUUCUGUCACAGGCCACUAGCCUUUCUUCAUUUUUUGGAUGUCUACAACUUCAUGGUGAGAAGAGAAAUUGGAAAAAAGUUAUCCAGCACCCAGCAAGGAGUUAUAUUCUUUUCCACAAAAAAUUCCACAGCAUUCUAAAAUCAGGCAACUGGCAGAGACCAGACCAGGUUGGGUAUGACAAAUGAGAAGACUUUAUGUGCCAAUCCCAUUACCAUCUCUGACAGACUGAUCUCUGUAAUGGUUCAAGAAUUUAUUUUGCUGGAUUUACUCAGGUGCUCAGAAUAACUGACAACAUCAAAUUAUUCUGGAAGACAAAGAACCUACCUAUAAAGAAGAGUUGGAGAGAUUCACUUGAAGAAAUAGAUGGUAAAGAGCAGGAGUAAAUGCCAAGAGAAACCUUAGGGACAGGGAGAAACAGCUAUCAGUAGUGAUUGAGAGGAGGAGAGAGACCUACCAUGACUGGAAGGAAAUGAUCAAGAAAUGGAAAAAGAAACGUACAACAUUAUUAAGCUGCAGUUUCAGCACUGCUAAUGUGAAAAUACAAAAUACUCCAAGAAUCGCAAGCUUUUUGAAUAUCAAAAUGAUACCACAAUUGAUUUAAUGUGAGAAGUCACAUUCAAAAUGCAGGUGCGCUAAAAAGAUUGUAUAAAAUUACCUUCAAGUUAUAUGUAUGGUACGUAUGAAACAUAAAUGAAUAUCUGUUUAGACUUGGGUCCCAUCCCUAAGAUAUGUCAUUAUGUAUAUGCAAAUAUUCCAAAAUGCAAGAUACUUCUGGUCCCAAGCAUUUUGGACAAAGGAGAGACUCAGCCUGUGUGUGUUUUAAAAAAUGUGUCUGCUGUGACAAAUCACCACCAAAUAAUUAAAGACUAAUUCUGGAACUUGGAUUUUAAAAUAGCUAUUGGAGUGAAAAAGUUAACAAAAUGAAAAACAAUGAUAGAGGAGGCAAGAGGUCUGGAAGGAAAGGAAAAUGCAAUAUGUAAAGAUGUAAAGAAAGGGGAAAGAUAAAAAUGAGCCCCAUGCAGAGGAGAAACUGAAGGGCAGGAAAAAUACUGGGAGAGAGGAACAUUUAGGAAACAUAUUCCCUUGUAGCAAAUGAAUAGAUUUUAUGGAUGAAGAUCUUGUCACAAUUCUAGGGGUCUCCUACAUUGAACCUGGCACAGAACCACAAGUUUGCUGAACAAUAUAAAUAUCUAGGGAGGAAGAACACUGCGUCAGUCAUUGGUGUCUGCUACUGUUGAUUUGGUGGCAGCCUUGGUGAAAGCCUAUGGCAAAUAGGGAGGAGACUAGGGAGGCAGAGAAGGCUGAUCUUGGGAGAAUACAGUCUGGCAAGACCAUCUUGCUAAAGGAUGCAACAGCUCUGCUAGAGGCAAAGGUGUUGAAAUGGUUUCCUUAGUGGUGGCUGAGGGGCUGACACCAGUGUUGUAGUUCAGCCUCAGUUGAAAACCAUGAUGAUCAGAUGUCACCCAGCUGUGCUCAGCAUGGCCAAAGAAUUUCCCUAAUAGGGGAGUCACCAUCCAUCCUGCCCCUCCCCCAAGUAUCAGGUUUAUGUGUUAUGUUACAUCCAAAAUUAAAAGUCAAAACAGUGUUUUUGAUGAUACCAGACUUUUUUUGCCUGAGAAAAUGUCGAGAGUCACUACCUACUCCAAAUGGACAAUGUAUGUGUCAGUUAUCAAACUUAAAGGAGCCACUGAGGAUUUAUAAGGAGAUGGGAAAAUAUCAAACAAUGUAGAAAUGUUUACGGGUAGAACAUUCUGCAAAUGUUGGAAAUGAUAUUCUUUGAAAUACAUUUUCCAUAUUGGAACCCUGCCAAAUAAGAACUGUUGUUGAAGGAACUUGGGUGCACUAUGAUCAAAUAUGUUCCCCCAAAUGUAGCUAUUUAUAGUAUGUCUGAUAGGACACAGAGUAAUCAAGGCAAGUUUGCCCAGCAUGAUCCUAGUUUACAGCAGUUGCCUAUUGUUAGCAACCCCUUACACUUGCAAAAGGUUUGAAUGAAAAUUUAUAUAGUCACAGAAAUAACUUCUAAUUCCUGGAAAACAAAAAGAUUCAACUGGAAGGGUAAAUGUUAUAUUGUUCAAUGUAGAUCAUUGAUUUCACUUCUAAUAAAAUAUUAACAAAACACAUCCAAUUGUUAUAAGCAGAAAUUAUAAGGUUUCUAUGGAUCAGACCUAAAAAUUCACUUUCUCUCAAGACAUAAUCAUGCAACUCUUAGACCCAGGCAUAGAAAUGUUUUUAGAAAAAUCUGGUAUAUUUUGGAAAGAUAGUUCCAUACUACAGCUGCCAUGAAAAAUAGCUCUUAUAUCACACACACCUAAAUUGAAUAUACACGCAAAUAAGCAUACAUAUGCUGGAAGGGAGGAAAAAGCAAUUAUGUUGUUAUAAAUCUGCUAUGCUGCAAAACAUUGACCAACAUAUCCAAAUGAAAGACAGCAUCGUCUUACCUGAAGUUCCUGGGUAGCAGAUUGAAUGGACAGAAAAACAAAUAAAAGGUCUAUUUAAAAUGGUUAUAUUAAAGAAAAUCAAGCGCAUUUGUCUCAACAGUGCUAACAAUAUAUACUUCCACAGGUGCAACUUUAAGAAGGUACCAAAGAGAGAAAUCAGUAUUCCCCACUUCUUAGUGAUGGUGAUGUAGCUGGGGCAACAAAUCCUAAGUACAAUUUCUGAAAUAGCUUUGUCCUUCAGUGACAACUUUGGUUUCCUCAACACUUCUCUCAGGGUGCCUAAUUAUUGACAAACUUUGUCAAGUGAGGAGUUACUACAAUUAUUCACCAACAACAAUACAAGGGAUCCUGACAGGCUGCUAGAAGUGGAACAUAUGUUCUGGGGUUGAAGCCUCACGCCACCUCUCCAGCUCCACAUCUAGGAAAUCGAAGUCCCUGAAGACGCGGAACUGCUGCUCGCUGUUCGUGUCAUCCAUGUUCUCCUGCUCCCGGGCGCCGUCCUCGGAGGGCACCAGGCUCGUCUGGUGCUCCAGCAGAUCCAGAUCCCCACACGAG